AGAGUUUGAUCCUGGCUCAGAUUGAACGCUGGCGGCAUGCUUUACACAUGCAAGUCGAACGGUAACGCGGGGGGUAACCCCUGGCGACGAGUGGCGAACGGGUGAGUAAUACAUCGGAACAUGUCCUGGAGUGGGGGAUAGCUCGGCGAAAGCCGGAUUAAUACCGCAUACGCUCUGAGGAGGAAAGCGGGGGACUCGUAAGGGCCUCGCGCUGCGGGAGUGGCCGAUGUCGGAUUAGCUAGUUGGUGAGGUAAAGGCUCACCAAGGCGACGAUCCGUAGCUGGUCUGAGAGGAUGAUCAGCCACACUGGGACUGAGACACGGCCCAGACUCCUACGGGAGGCAGCAGUGGGGAAUUUUGGACAAUGGGGGCAACCCUGGUCCAGCCAUGCCGCGUGAGUGAAGAAGGCCUUCGGGUUGUAAAGCUCUUUCGGACGGGACGAAAUGGUUACGGUGAAUAGCUGUGACUGAUGACGGUACCGUAAUAAGAAGCACCGGCUAACUACGUGCCAGCAGCCGCGGUAAUACGUAGGGUGCGAGCGUUGUUCGGAAUUACUGGGCGUAAAGGGCGCGUAGGCGGCUUAUCAAGUCAGGCGUGAAAUUCCCGGGCUCAACCUGGGGGCUGCGCUUGAUACUGAUUGGCUUGAAUGCGGGAGAGGAUAGUGGAAUUCCCAGUGUAGAGGUGAAAUUCGUAGAUAUUGGGAAGAACACCAGUGGCGAAGGCGGCUAUCUGGCCCGUAAUUGACGCUGAGGCGCGAAAGCGUGGGAGCAAACAGGAUUAGAUACCUGGUAGUCCACGCCGUAAACGAUGAAUGCUAGACGUUGGCGAGCAUGCUCGUCAGUGUCGCAGCUAACGCAUUAAGCAUUCCGCCUGGGGAGUACGGUCGCAAGAUUAAAACUCAAAGGAAUUGACGGGGGCCCGCACAAGCGGUAGAGCAUGUGGUUUAAUUCGAAGCAACGCGCAGAACCUUACCAACCCUUGACAUGGGGAGUAUGGGCCGGAGAGAUCCGGUCCUUCAGUUCGGCUGGCUCCCACACAGGUGCCGAAUGGCUGUCGUCAGCUCGUGUCGUGAGAUAUUGGGUUGAGUCCCGCAACGAGCGCAACCCCUAUCUUCAGUUGCCAUCAUUGAGUUGGGCACUCUGAAGAAACUGCCGGUGACAAGCCGGAGGAAGACGGGGAUGACGUCAAGUCCUCAUGGCCCUUACGGGUUGGGCUACACACGUGCUACAAUGGUGGUGACAAUGGGGAGCGAGGCUGCGAGGCCAAGCCAAUCUCAAAAAGCCAUCUCAGUUCGGAUUGCACUCUGCAACUCGAGUGCAUGAAGUUGGAAUCGCUAGUAAUCGUGGAUCAGCAUGCCACGGUGAAUACGUUCCCGGGCAUUGUACACACCGCCCGUCACACCAUGGGAGUUGGUUUUACCCGAAGCCGGUGAGCGAACCUGAAAGGGACGAAGCCGACCACAGUAAGGUCAGCGACUGGGGUGAAGUCGUAACAAGGUAACC
RNAcentral lists this ribosomal RNA (1502 nucleotides) under uncultured Green Bay ferromanganous micronodule bacterium MNH4. RNAcentral describes it as "bacterial SSU rRNA". It matches the Rfam family "Bacterial small subunit ribosomal RNA". Lineage: Bacteria; Pseudomonadati; Pseudomonadota; Alphaproteobacteria. The record is from RNAcentral.